UCAGCCUACGGGACGCAGCAGUGAGGAAUAUUGGUCAAUGGUCGGGAGACUAAACCAGCCAAGCCGCGUGAGGGAUGAAGGUACAGAGUAUCGUAAACCUCUUUUGUCAGGGAACAAAGGCGGGGACGUGUCCCCGGAUGAGUGUACCUGAAGAAAAAGCAUCGGCUAACUCCGUGCCAGCAGCCGCGGUAAUACGGAGGAUGCGAGCGUUAUCCGGUUUUAUUGGGUUUAAAGGGGGCGCAGGCGGUCUGUUAAGCCAGCGGUCAACGCCCGGG
Molecule: ribosomal RNA, 275 nt
Filed under: uncultured bacterium
Lineage: Bacteria
Description: partial 16S ribosomal RNA
Rfam family: Bacterial small subunit ribosomal RNA
Source: RNAcentral